Macaca mulatta (Rhesus monkey) is the source of this 3193-nucleotide non-coding RNA. NCBI's taxonomy places the organism in Eukaryota, Metazoa, Chordata, Mammalia, Primates, Cercopithecidae. The record is from RefSeq and is a predicted model, not a curated record.
UCACCUGCCUGGCUACCAGUGGUGGGGGUGGGUGGAGUGGCCAGCCGAGUUCGGCCCAAAAUGGGCCUGCUAGUUCGGGAGCUGGCCUUGAGCCCCAUCUGGCAGGAAGACAUGGAUAAAUCGUACAGCUCCCAGGUACUGCAACUGUGGUUUUUACUGAGGCAGUGACAUUGGUACUGGUCUGCCCUUGGGCCCAAGGCUUGUAGAGGUCUCCGUGGACGCAAGAGUUGCCCCCACAAAAUGUCCCAGUGGCUCCUACGUCAGUCUAGAAAUGUGGUAGAGUUGGUGGGGGCCCAGGGGGUUUCUCCCAUUCCCAGUCUUGCACAGGUCCCUGUGGAGAGCUGAAUCCCGCUAGGGGCUCUCACCCUUUCCCAUGUUGGAAAAUGGUUCACUUACUCAACCUUUCCCAUACUGAAAGGUUCUCCUGGCUCUGCACUGAGCCCAGACAUGCUGGUGUCCCACCUCACUCAUGUCUGCUCUUUGUGUUACCCUGCUGCCUUGAUGGAUCAUAACAUGGUUUCUCAGAUGAUCGGCCUGCAGGGUCAAUGUUUACUAGCCCCUUUUGUUUCUGAUCUGUGAGAAUGGUGCAUAUGAGAUGAUUCUAGUCUGCCAUCUUGUCCAAAUAUCCUAAAAUUUUAAAUAAUUUUUAACUGUUAAUUUUUUCCCUUGCUUUCUUGUAUAAAAUGAUCUUGUACUGGUACGCAGCCACCUGGCAGUUAUUGGUCUCACCAUGGAGUGGAAAGUGCUUGCGCUCCAGGCCCGAAAGAAAAGGACCAUACCCAAGAAGGACAAAGCCCAAAGGAAAUCUGAAACUCAGCACCGAGGCUCUGCUCUCCACUCCAAGAGUGAUCUACCAGAGCAGGAAGAGGAGAUUCUGGGAUCUGAUGAUGAUGAGCAAGAAGAUCCUAAUGAUUAUUGUAAAGGAAGUUAUCAUCUUGUGAAAAUUGGAGAUCUAUUCAACGGGAGAUACCACGUGAUCCAAAAGUUAGGCUGGGGACACUUUUCAACGGUAUGUUUAUCAUGGGAUAUUUACGGGAAGAAAUUUGUGGCAAUGAAAGUAGUUAAAAGUGCUGAACAUUACACUGAAACAGCACUAGAUGAAAUCUGGUUGCUGAAGUCAGCUCGCAAUCCAGAUCCUAAUGAUCCAAAUAGAGAAAUGGUUGUACAACUACUAGAUGACUUUAAAAUAUCAGGAGUUAAUGGAACACAUAUCUGCAUGGUAUUUGAAGUUUUGGGGCAUCAUCUGCUCAAGUGGAUCACCAAGUCCAAUUGUCAGGGGCUUCCACUGCCUUGUGUCAAAAAAAUUAUUCAGCAAGUUGUUACAGAGUCUUGAUUAUUUACAUACCAAGUGCCGUAUCAUCCACACUGACAUUAAACCAGAGAACAUCUUAUUGUCAGUGAAUAAGCAGUACUUUCGGAGGCUGGCUGCAGAAGCAACAGAAUGGCAGCAGUCUGGAGCUCCUCCACCUUCUGGAUCUGCAGUCAGUACUGCUCCCCAACCUAAACCAGCUGACAAAAUGUCAAAGAAGAAGAAGAAGAAAUUGAAGAAGAGGCAGAAGCGCCAGGCAGAAUUACUAGAGAAGCGAAUGCAGGAAAUUGAGGAAAUGGAGAGAGUCAGACCUUGGGCAAAAAAGACCAAACAAGCAAGAAGAAUCAGAGAGUCCUGUUGAAAGACCCUUGAAAGAGAACCCACCUAAUAAAAUGACCCAAGAAAAACUUGAAGAGUCAAGUACAUUGGCCAGGAUCAAACACUUAUGGAACGUGAUACAGAGGGUGGUGCAGCAGAAAUUAAUUGCAAUGGAGUGAUUGAAGUCAUUAAUUAUACUCAGAACAGUAAUAAUGAAACACUGAGGCAUAAAGAGGAUCUACAUAAUGCUAAUGACCAUGAUGUCCAAAAUUUGAAUCAGGAAUCUAGUUUCCUAAGCUCCCAAAAUGGAGACAGUAGCACAUCUCAAGAAACAGACUCCUAUAACAUCUGAGGUGUCAGACUCCAUGGUGUGCCAGUCUUCCUCAACUAUAGAUUAGUCAUUCAGUGAACAGUACAUUAGCCAACUUCAAGAAAGCAUUCGGUCAGAGAUACCCUGUGAAGAUGAACAAGAGCAAGAACAUAAUGGACCACUGGACAACAAAGGAAAAUCCACGGCUGGAAAUUUUCUUGUUAAUUCCCUUGAGCCAAAAAAUGCAGAAAAGUUCAAGGUGAAGAUUGCUGAUCUUGGAAAUGCUUAUUGGGUGCACAAACAUUUCACUGAAGAUAUUCAAACGAGGCAAUAUCAUUCCUUGGAAGUUCUAAUAGGAUCUGGCUGUAAUACCCCUGCUGACAUUUGGAGCAUGACAUGCAUGGCCUUUGAACUGGCCACAGAUGCCUAUUUAUUUGAACCUCAUUCAGGGGAAGAGUACACUCAAGAUGAAGAUCACAUUGCAUUGAUCAUAGAACUUCUAGUGAAGGUGCCUUGCAAGCUCAUUGUGGCAGGAAAAUAUUCCAAGGAAUUUUUCACCAAAAAAGGUGACCUGAAACGUAUCACGAAGCUGAAACCUUGGGGCCUUUUUGAGGUUCUAGUGGAGAAGUAUGAGUGGUCUCAGGAAGAGGCAGCUGGCUUCACAGAUUUCUUACUGCCCAUGUUGGAGUUGAUCCCUGAGAAGAGAGCCACUGCCACCGAGUGUCUCCGCCACCCUUGGCUUAACUCCUAAGCCCCUGGCCAGCACCACAGCAGAGAUCACAUACUGACCCUCAGCCCUUCCCCUCCAAGCAUUUUCCUCUUCCCUUUUUAGGGUGAAACUCUUUCUUCAAGAGUUUCUAGAUUUUUUUUUUUUUUUUGUAAUCCAACAUGUUCAUUUGGGUUUGCUUACUUGACACUGUGGAGAUCCCCACAGCCAUUGGGCAUCCUAGGUGAAUUUGGCCUUGGUUGGGCUCUACCAAAGACUAAUGGACUAAAAUGUGAAACUGCCUCUUGCCCUGUACCUUUCCUUCCCAUUAGGACAUCCUUUAAAUUAUAAGCAUCCUUUUUGAAAGAGCUAUGAAGGUGUAUGAACCCAUCCUUUUAUUCAUUAAGAGUCAAAUUUUCUAGUGUAUAUUCUAUUGCCUGCAUGAGGAUGAGGAGGGGAAAGGGUGUUAAUUCUGUGUACACCAGCAGAGACAUUAAACUUGCUGUGUCCAGGCUGCAUCAUCUUCCUGGACUGUUUCUGUUGUUCUGUA